Long non-coding RNA from Lates calcarifer (barramundi perch), 1679 nucleotides. RefSeq lists it as uncharacterized. The transcript has 2 exons. NCBI's taxonomy places the organism in Eukaryota, Metazoa, Chordata, Actinopteri, Centropomidae. The record is from RefSeq and is a predicted model, not a curated record.
AUCUGGUGAAAAUAGUUCAUUAGUUCACUUUUGUGGCGCAUUUGUAUCAUUAAAACAUCCUUCAGAUUUGGCUGCCAGCAGCUCCUGUUCGCUAUAAUGAAAACAUCCACUGAGAUCACUCUGAACAAAAGACAUGAAUCUGAAGUAUGUGGGAGUGAGAGGGUGGGGAUUUAUAUCAGAGCUAUAAAAUAUUUACCAACAGCAGCUCAGCAACAACCUCAUCCAUUCACCGCCUCUAAAAGUCAAAGAUGGCAGCCAGAAAUUCUCAGCCUGUGAAACCCUUACAGAUGGUCCAGAAUGCAGCAGUACGUCUGGUCUCUGAUCAGCCUCAAAGGUCACAUGACCUCCACUGGCUAAACAUGGCCGUCUGGAUCUAACCCAGGUCUCUGCUGCUGCCUAAAGAGAGACCUCUGGGUCUGAACUCAGUCCUUCAGGCUUCUGCUCCUUCUCAGACUCUGUGUUCCUCCAAGGAUCAUCAUCUCCAUCCCUGACUACAAGCUGUUCUCAGUCCAGACUGUUCUGGUCUGUGGUUCUCUGAUGGUGGAACCAGUUCCCAGAUCAGAGCAGGAGCGUCUCUCUCUGUCUUCAACAACCUGUGAAGACUGAUCUCCUCUGAGAGCUCGUCCUCUCCUCACACCUCUAACACCCUGACAUUCAGUGUUUCUCCUCCAUGACCAGGCUCCGUCCUACAUCAUCAACCUGCUACACCACCACUCUCCAACCUCCUGUCUCCACCAGUCAGAAUCAUAUUCUGGUCAUUGUGUGACAGGGCUUUUCUCAAUUGCUCUCCCACCCUCUGGAUAGCACCAGUCUUGUGUUCAAGAGAUGAAUCAAAACCGUUUUGUAAUUAUUAUUAUUAUUAUUACCAGUAGUAGUAGUAUUGUCAUUACAAUCAGCAGCACCUACCACAGCAAUGCACCGGGACAGCCAUGUUUUCAGGACAGCUGCCAACUGUCUAGAUGAGUAUAUAGAGGAUGUGAUGUCCUACAUCAGCUUCUGUGAGCACUGCUGCCGCAUACCAACAUGCACCAGGUUACAACAAUGAUAAACCCUGUUUCAAACCUAAGCUCAGUUGGCUAAAGCUGGAAAAGCAGGAGGGAAUAGGGACAGGAGUAUGGAGGUGACAUACAGGUUUAGCAAGGUGAUGAAAAACACUAAAAGCCUGUACACUCAGAAACUUCCAACAGCAAUCAUCAUCUUAUGACUUUGCUUUUGUCUGGGGAGUGCCUAAACAGGUCAACCUCUGAAUGCUUUAAACAUGACCCUCCAUUUCAUCCUCCAAUAUCUGGACUGGAAUCUAUACCAGUAUCCUCUUUAUGGGCUUAAUUUCCUCCUUCAGUGCCAACUCUGUGGCACUGCAUGGGCACCAUCAUCACCUGUCAACAGACUGAGUCCUUUCUGUGUGAAGUCUACAUGUUCUCCUCGUGCCUGUAUUGGUUUCCCUCCAUGACAUGCCAGUCAACCCUUGUGUUGGCUGCAUUCAGACAGACUUCCUGCUGUGUGAAAAAAUAGUCUUCAUUCCUUUGAAUUGGACCAUGUAUUGAUGCAGUGGAGGAACCAUUGUAAACAGUAAAACAUACAAUCAUCAUUCAGCGAUGUCUGAACAUACAUAUUCUUUUCCUGUCCUGACACUUUGUAAUAUCUGUUUCAAAGGUUCUGAAUAAAGUUUGUUUCCAGUU